CACACAUUGUAUGGCCACCUUCACAGCUCCUGAAGCUGCACAAGAAGCAGUUCUUAUCUAAUCACUCUGGGUUUUUCCUCUUGCUUUUGCUUUCAGUAUGACAAACUCCUAGUAUGACAAAAGGAACAAGAAGACUUUCAGGACGCUCAGCACCAGAUUUGCAGCCCACUUCUAGAGAAGCCUGCAUUUUAAUAUUGAAACAGCUAUCACUGCACAAACCAGGUGAGAAGAGAUUAAGGAAAUGUAAUCGGAUCACAAGCCAACAAGAAGUCUCGGAAAUUCAGUGAGCAGCACGCAAAACCUGCCUAAAUCAGGAGUAACAAGAAGAGCAGAAGCCAUACUAACCAAGAGUAUGUACAAGAGACUGAGGAAAGCUGGAAACAGCCAGGUUUAAAUGAUCCAAAUAAAGAAAAUUCUCAUCACACUAGCACUGACCCAGUGCGUCCGCAUAGACGCAGUAGACUAAUCAUGAUAACCGAAUUAGCAGGGACAGUUAGUUCUUUGGAAUAAUCAAAAUGUGCAACAUGUAUGAACACAUGCUCAAUCCAUGAAUGACCGCUUUCCUCCUUCAUGCAGCAGAGAUGGAGACUUGCAGUUACAAGGUAGAAAGACCUGAAUUAGGGUCUGAGCUACAUCCUUUCCUGGCAAUAUGACAGUCACUGAGAAUACCUGUUUCUCAAUUUUACACAUGUGAAAUGGGAAACACAUUAAGGGAAUGAUUAAAAGGAUGGUUUUAUUUUAUUUUAUUUUACUUUUUUUAGGUACCAGGAAUUGAACUCAGGACUUCACACUUGCUAGGUGGGCACUGGGUCACUGAGCUAAAUCCUCAGCCCAAAUACUUUAAAAACUGUAAAAAAAUUAGCUUUUAUGUAUUGCAUAGACAUGUGGAAACGUUGACUUUAUAAUUAUUUCCUAUCCGGGUGGCUUUGGGUAGAGUUGGUAACGUACCCUGAAAUUUGUUUUCUUUGAUAGAGUAGUUUGAAACUAAAAGUAUGAGAUAACUGCCUGAUAAACAUUUUAUUUUCCCUGGUGUUGGAGUCUCAAAAGGAAUUAGACUUUUUCCCAACUGUCCCAAAUGGUGUUUUCUUAGAUACCCAGAAAGAUCUCUGGUUUUCUAUCGGGGAGAUAGGAGUUCAUUUGUCCAAUCACUUACCCACUGGGCUUUUGUAGAUAUUUGGGCCUGCACACCUCCAUUCUAGGGAGACUUCACUGAAUAUUAGCUGGCUUUCAUGCUCUUGCUCAUCCACACAGUAUAUUUAGUUGCCAAAUUUUUGGUUCCAUUCCUUCAACUCAGUACCUUCUCUAUAAUCCUACUUCUGCUUCCUUAUAUUCUGCUCACAUUACCUCUUGCUUUGUCUACUGCAAUCUCCUAUUUGGUCUCCUUGCUUUCAGGAUUUCCUCAUUGUAAUCCAUCCUAUGCAUCACUUCUAGAUAGAGUGUGUCUCUGAAAUAAUGUCAUAUUUUGCCUCAAAGUAAUGCACUAUUUUCAAAUUCCUUGGCGAAUUAAAUAUGGGUAUUCUAAGAUGAUACUCAAGGCCCUCUAUUUAAUGUCCAUGUAUUAGAGACCACUAGUUUGUUCAGUCCCUUCUCCAUAAUAUUCUGUUUUCUGCUGAAUAGUAGCCAGAUGCAUGUCUAAACAGAACUACAUUUCCCAGCCUCCCUUUUAGUAAAGAGUGGUAAUGUGACCUAAUUCUGCCAAUGAUAUGUGGAAGCACCAUAGGAGGAAGUUCCAGGCCUUUUGUCUCCCUUUCCUCCCUCCUGCCAGUGGGGAUGCAGAAGUGCUGGCUGCCAUCUUGAACCAUAUAAGGUGGAAGCCAGGUGCUAAAGAUGGCAGAGCAACAACGUACUUGUCCCCUGGUCAUGCAGAGUCCACAUCAGUCCUGCAUAGACAUCUUGUGGCUGUGCUAACCUUGAAAACUAUCCCCCAAAGCUUAUGUAUUGGAAACAUAAUCUCCCAAUUCAUAUGUUACUGGUAUUUGUAGGUGAGGCCUUUGAAAGUAAUUAGAAUUGGGUGGAAUCAUAAGAGUGAGGCCACCAUUAUAAUAUUGGU
Molecule: long non-coding RNA, 2050 nt
Organism: Cavia porcellus (domestic guinea pig)
Lineage: Eukaryota; Metazoa; Chordata; Mammalia; Rodentia; Caviidae
Exons: 3
Source: RefSeq, a predicted model, not a curated record